Molecule: non-coding RNA, 9177 nt
Organism: Oryctolagus cuniculus (rabbit)
Lineage: Eukaryota; Metazoa; Chordata; Mammalia; Lagomorpha; Leporidae
Source: RefSeq, a predicted model, not a curated record
ACAGAAAGAUCUUCCAUCCACUGGUUCAUUCCCCAGUUGUCUGGAACAGCUGAGAAAGGCCAAGCUGAAGUCAGAACUCAAUCCAGAUCUCCCAGUUGGGAGGAAGAUGCUCGGUACGUGAGCCAUCACCCGCUACCUUCCAAGGUAUACAUCAACAGGAACCUGGAAUCAGAAAUGGAGCUGAAUUCAAACCCAGAUAAAGAAACGUCUUUUGCUGAGGCUUCUCUCUGCACGUGGUUCUCUCAACAACAUCCACAGAGACUGAAGAGACACAGAUGACAACAAGAAAAGAGAUUCUUGGAGGAAACCAAGGAAACACAGUAAAGAAUGACCAGGCAAUACUCUUUGAAAAUUGGAGACCAUUUGCAGCUGCUCUCUGUUGAGGAAAGUGAAUAAUAGGGUGCCCUCAAGGAAUUUCAAAGGUAUCACUCAACAGAAACUUUUGUGUCUGAAGAAAACUGGAUCAUUUUAUCAUGGUGGCUCCAAUGGCAAGGGUUUGAAUCAGGCCAAAUCCAGGAGUCAGGAGCUUCUUCCGGGUCUUCCACAUGGAUGGCAGGGACCUAUGCACUUGGGUGAUCUGCUUUUUGAACCUGGAUCAGAAGUGGAGCAGCCAGGACUUGAACAGUGACAGGUCAAACUCUUUGUUAAGAGAUACAUAAACAACAGUGUGUGUCUGAAGGAGACCCCAUUUGAAGAGAAAUCAGAUGGCACCCAGAUAAGCAAGGCUGAUUCAACCUAGAAAGAAGUUUUCUACGAUGAACCAAGCCAGCUUCCUGGACAUAGGAGAAGGAACUGUGAACUUCGUGCCAUUCCAUCAUUUCUGUGAGUUGAAAUGAUCUACCGUAUAAUCAUUGGCUUAGAAAAUGAAAACACACAGAAAGGAGAAGUGAGAUAAAGGGAGGGAGACAAAGAAAAAAAUAAGAAAGAAAAUGACCAGAAAGCCAUAUUAUUCUGCUGUUUCUCUUGUAUAUGUUGACUGACAAUAUUUUGUUUGUAGUAACAGAGAUAUUGGGGUCAAUGUUCACAAAACGCCAGAACAUUUUCAGAUUAAAAGUUAGAAUUUUAAUUUUCAGUUAAAAGUUUCUGUUUGAAAGAUUUUUAGAUUGGCAUGUUAUAUAAUAGAUAUGAGAAAGUAAAGCUUGGUUAUUUAAGUAGCUAAGUUAAAACAAGCUUAAUUGGUGACUCUUCGCCUUAGCAGCCUUUUAUUUUUCGAUUUCCUGAAUCUACAUGGGUGCCAAAUCAUCUUUCAUGAAGUGCCUGUAAGUGGAGUCAAUUUCUUUUAAAAUACGCACGUGUGUGCGUGCACACAGCCCAUGCUGUGGGUGGGAAGGGAGCAAACAGAAAAGACUCAGAGUCAAAACAAAGUGAGCUUCCAGGGUCAUGUUUAAUCUGAAACUUUGUGAGGCUGCGCAGGUUCACGGAUAUCAAACUUACUUUAUUUUAACGUGAUAAUCAAAACAGUUGUUGAAAGAUUUUAGAUACAGAUCAGAUUCAGCUCUGAAUAAUGACAAAAAUGAAUCUAUCUAGACUGCUACAUAUAAACUAUACUGUAAAUUUUAAAUAUUUAAAAUUAAAUAAGCAUCCACUAGUAACUCUUUUCAGGAUUUUCGCCUUUUAAAUGAAAUCUGUAUACAAACAGAUUAAAAUUCCUAUUUGAAGUGGUAAAUGUAAAGUAAUUCUACAAUUAUUACACAACCAUGCUUGAUAUUAAAACACAGGCAUGAAUAUAACAGGACACAAAUGUAAGAGGUGUAACAAGUCGGUUUUUUCCUCAAUAGGGAUUGAAGAAAAGACAAUAUUUCUUUUUCUUAGUUAAUUGUCCCAGAGCUCACAUGUAUUCCUUUAUGUUGAGGUCUAAAAUUAAGGAAUAAAAGGCAGAACUAAACAGGAUGCAACAAAUUCAGAUUCCAAGGUGUGGGGGACUGUUUAUGCUUUUUUUUGUAAGCAUUGAUCUUUUAAAGUAAUUUUGGAAUUCAAUAUUCUAAUGCCAAAACUUUCCAUGAUUUAAGUUUUAGUAGAUGUGAAAUAUCUAGAUGUAGAUUCAGUUACAGCUGGGCUAGAGUUUGUCAAAUGUGACCUCUUAAAGAAAAUUAUUAUCCAUAUCUAUUAGACUGAUAAUUUACAUUGGUUCCACUUUGGUAGGUACUUUUCAUAUUUAAAAUAAUCAAUAGCUCUGAGUGAACAUUAAAAAUAAAUUCUGAAUCCAAUCUUUCAGCCUUGCUAGUUCAAAUUAUUUGUAAAUUCAAAGACAAAACCUUCUAAAUUCUGAAUGAAUUCACAUUCAUUCUACGUAAUUGCUCCACAGAAUAAUGAAAGAAUGAAUGAACCUCCACGCAUCUAGUGGGAACUGCUCAUGCAUGAAAUAAUCAUUUACUCUGAAUGAACCUUUAAGAAAAUCAUUCUAAGGGCUGGUGAUCGGGGAGUAAACAAGACAUUAAAUUUCUUGCCCUUUGGGAGUUUACAUUCUGAUGAUUAAACUUCGUCAAACACAGUUAAUUCAUUUCCAAGUAAACACCAACGCAAUUGGGAAAAUAAUUCUUCUCAUUCUCUUUUUCUGACUCCAGUGGUUUCCCUUUUCCACCACCAGGAACAAGCUGUGAAGGCCUACGGACUGGUGUCUGUGCAGGUGCAGCUAUCUCACGGUGGACGUGGGGCCUGCAGGGCACGUGCGGGUCUCGCUGCACAGGUGCCCUACUCCCCCGGCGGGCGUGUGCUGCUGCUCUAACCAGUGCGCUAGCUCGUGCGCUAUUAUCGGGAAGUACCUAAGCUUUCAAUUCCGGAAAGCUGGCUUGUACUAGGAAAGUGAAGCCAAAGUAGAAAACGUGCAUCCCUUGUUUCCCCCAGAAAGGUGAACAACUCCCCACACGUAAUGCCCACCUGUAUGCACGUGACUGGGAGAGACUGAGGGUUUCCUUGAGAGGAGAUGGAAGGCAACCACGUAGAAAGGGGAGAACCCCAUUUUUUCUGCAGCAUAUAUCACUGUUUGCGUUUUCUGAUGUAAUAGUAGCCAGGAUUCUGGCUGCUGCUUCAAGUCCUGUUUGAUUUUUCUCCAUAGGCAAUUCUGCGCUCACCUUACGUUUCCUGUUAGAGCUCUCACUGCCUUGCAUCCUUCACCCUGGGGAGGCGCCCAGGCUGUAGCGGGGCUCUACAAAUGUGGAGCAGAUGGAGGAGCAGCCAUGCCGGCAAGAGCUAUCGCCUGACAAAGCGGGGCUUCAGGAUCGGAGAAACCGCGGCACGGAUGAACCCACUGCGGUGGGAAAGAGAGACUGUUCAACUCUAUGGUUCCACAUCCAUUCCUGUGGACUUACUUCUAAGGGCACAGUUUGAAAACGUGCCAUGGGAUCCCACGUCCCCAUGAGCUGGAUGGUAAAAGUAGCAUUUUAAGUGUUUAAUGAUAAUAUAGAUAGGGUCAAAGAGGAGGGGAUGCAUCAACAUGGGAAGCAGUCCAUACAGCAGAGUCAUAGGUUGGCAGUUGCCAUAAAUAACACUCACUGGACUCAGAGACAGCCCAUAAGGCAUUCUAGCCUGGCUGAAAAGCCCACAACAUGUUAUGGAAAAGUCAGGACACUGGUGCAAAAUAUGUCCCUACAUGAAGAAAAUCUGCGAUUGAGACCCCAGUGGAAAAAGUGGUCAUCAAAGAAAGACGUACUCAUCUCUGAAGGAAAGAACUUCCACUUUGCUCACAGCCUUGUCUGAAAACUAAUGGGAUUUGUGGAUUCAAAAGUCUUCUACGGGCUGGCGCCGCGGCUCACUAGGCUAAUCCUCCACCUAGCAGCGCCGGCACACCAGGUUCUAGUCCUGGUUGGGGCGCCGGAUUCUGUCCCGGUUGCCCCUCUUCCAGGCCAGCUCUCUGCUGUGGCCAGGGAGUACAGUGGAGGAUGGCCCAGGUGCUUGGGCCCUGCACCCCAUGGGAGACCAGGAGAAGCACCUGGCUCCUGGCUCCUGCCAUCGGAUCAGCGCGGUGCGCCGGCCGCAGUGCGGCGGCCGUGGCGGCCAUUGGAGGUGAACCAACGGCAAAGGAAGACCUUUCUCCCUGUCUCUCUCUCUCACUGUCCACUCUGCCUGUCAAAAAAAAAAAAAAAGUCUUCUACGGCCUAGGCUCAAGUGAUUACUGACAUCACACAUAAGAGUGUUAAUUGCAGCAGUCACAGUGUACUAACUUCCCAUGCAAGUCCUCUAUCCUCAAAGAAUCGUAUUAUUAGAGUUAAUGGUAAAACUUGGUCUUGCUACUGGUGAAUGGUAGGGUUCCUGUCUUCGCGCCAGAAAGAAUUCAGGCAUGAGACAGAAAGUAGUGGAAAGUAAAAUAGCAAGGUUUAUUAGGGAAGGGACAUCCAUAAGAACGGAUGGGCACCUCUCCAGACAGAACCUGAGAGAGAGUGCCCAGUCGCUCGGACUGGGGGAAGAGUGAGGUCACAUGGUUGAGUGGAGAGAUUACACUCAGGCAGGCCAGGCGGGCGGCUCAGCAGAGAGGCAGAGGGCUGAGCGCACAGUCUGGUGUCUGGUUGAGGCCCAGGGAGGGGGGCGUUUAAGGGAUAGGUCUUUGUCUUCUCAUCUCUGCUCCUCUUGGAACAAAGGACUUCUUGGAUGUAAAUAGAAAAGCUCCUAUCUGAGUUUUCCCCCUGAAGUUAUCAGACAGGAGGAAGCCUGGCUGGCAGCACUCUGGUUAGAGGAAGGGUGAGCAAGACCCCCUGGAGGAUGGAGGAUCAGGAGGAUAUUUGAAAUGCAGAUAUCAGGCAGAAGGGGUGGGGACCCCCACCUGGCAGGUUAUCAGGUAGAAGGAGCAGGGCAGGAUGCAAAUACUGGGCUGCCCCUGAAACAUUACCAGGAUGACUUUGAGAUGCAUAUGCUGGACCUAAAUGUCUCCUUAGGCCUUUGUCACACGCACAUAAGCUCAUAUCUGACUUCCUAACUGUCUCAGAGAUUUACUUUGUUUUAAUGUGUUACAUAGAGGAUAUCAUUAUGUCUUAUAAGUUUCAUUCAUGUCUAAGUGACCAACUCCAUUGCUUGUAAGAGAUUUGUUAUUAUUCUUAAGUAUUUCCUUACAGUUAAUUCAGUUUCUCAGACAUGGACUCUUGGACCUGUGUCUCCCUGUAAUACUCCUGUCUUGCCUGUUUUAACAUCAAAUGGAGAGUACAGAAUGGCUCAAAGUCUCAGGACUAUGAAGGAGGCAGCUAUUCCCCGUGCAUCCUAUUGUGUGCUAAAUCCUUGCCUAAAGGAUGUUUUCUUCUGCAUCCAUUAAACCCGGAAUCUGGGAAAGCGAGGAUAGAGUUUCCCCAAUGAAAGCUCAAAUUUCUAAAUAGGAGGUAGAUUACCUGGGAUUAUCCCAGGUAAAGCCUGCUCUUUCAGGAAAGAGAAAGGAAGCUAUUUGAUGGAAGUAGCUACAUGAAGGAAGACAUUAGAAAGGCAAAUUGUGUUAUAGUGGAUCUUAUCCAGGUAAUAGAAGCUCAAGCAUUGCCAAGUAAUACUUCAGCUCAAAAGGCUGAAUUUACUGCAUUAACUAGAGCCUUGCAAUUAGGAAAAUGUCAGCGAGUUAAUAUAUAUGCAGACUCCAAAUAUGCUUUCCUUGUGUUACACGCACAUGCAGCAAUUUGGAAAGAAAGAUGCUUAUGGACUGCAAAGAAUUCCCAUUAAAUAUGGAAAGGAGAUCUGAGCUCUGCUUCAGUCAGUGCCGGAACCUUUGGAAGCAGCUGGCAUCAGAAGGCGGAGAGCUAUGUUAGCAAGGGAAAUGUGUGUGCGGACAAGGAGGCGAAAAUAGCUGCUGACAGGAUGUUCUGGCCACAGCUCUGCUACCUCAGCCUGCAGUAAUGGCUAAAGUGUCUCGCUCUACUGAGAUCUGAUGGAUCCAACAAGGUUAUACUAAAGAUGCUAGCGGUGGUGGACUUUUGAUCAUAAGGUUAUGCUUCCAAUGGCUUCUCACUGGCCAAUUAUUAAGGAAAUGCAUAACUCUACCCAUCUGGGAAGAGGAGCUUUAAUGCAAUUCGUCUCUCCAGUGUUGAAGGGAAAGGACUAGGUGAUGUCCUAUGAAUUUCUUACCAUCUUCAUGCUCUUCUUGGAACCCUCAGUCAUCGGGUGAAUUUGAAAAGGGAUAUUCAUGGUCUUAAAAAUAUUCUAGCUAAGCUUGGCCAAGAGAUCUAAGAAAUGUGGCUUAAACUGUUGCCUAUUGCUCUUCUCAGGAUGAGAAUAGCACCCAAGACUGCCUUAAGGGUUCGUCCAUAUGAGAUGCUCUAUGGAAGGCCUUCCUUCACCUCUGACAUCCUCUUUGAUUCAGAAGUUCAAGAUCAGAUAAAGUAUAUUAUCGAUUUAGGCCAGAUACAAAAGGCUGUGAUAGAGUAUGGUAAUAAAGUUCUCCCAGUGCCAGAUUCUAAGACUGAUGGACAGCCUAUUUCCCCAGGAGACUCAGUUUUAUUAAAAACUUGGAAGGAAGGGUCCCCUUCAGACCAGCUGCAGCCUAAAUGGAAGGAUCCCUACCAGGUGCUGCUGAGUACACCCACCUCGGUGAAAUUACAGGACCCCCCCAAGCUGGGUGCAUUUGUCAAGGAUUAAAUUUCCACCUCUUGAGUCUUCAUAGGUGAACUCGAAAGAUAACGUCUGCCUAUUCCUGUGAGCCGAUCAAAGAUCGCACGUUCCUCUUCAAAAAGCAAAAAGAUAAGUAAAGCUUUUGCUUUCGUUUUAUCGAGACUAUUGCACUUUAAGCCAUACAUGUUAUACCCAAUUUUUUUUUUAUUCUCUCUGGGAAAUUUUAUUGUCAGAAAAACUCCUUAGUGGGUUCUUGUAUUAUAAUACUAGGAGAUCGUGCUGAGCCACAUGAAGCUGAUGUUAAAAACCUGACCAUUGCUUUAGGCAAUCUGGGUUAUGCUUCAGGCCAACUUGUACAGCAAGUACUUAUGUCUGUGGACACUCUGUGCAAAGUAGUUAUGGACAACUGGCAGGCCUUGGAAUAUAUAUUAGUAAAACAGGGAGGAACAUGUGCAGUGAUUGAUGGAGUCUACCACCUUUACUCAAACAGUAGUAUGUUCACUGAAAGACACAUUAAAAAUCUCUAUGCUCAGGCUAGAUGGUUUAUAAUCUGCAUAAGGAGAGUCCAUCACCACCCACUAUCUGAGAGUCUAUUGAAUAUGUUAUUUGCAUCUUAAAGGGCACUCCAAUUGAAUUUUUUUCCAGUUUUGCUCAUGUUGAUUGACAAACUUCUGUGUUUUGGAAUUCAACAAUUUGUGAGAGUAGUGAUGACCAUGUGGGGGACACAGCCAUUGGUGGUGACUGAAAAUUCCCCAGCUGGUGAAAUGGAUUCAUUAGGUGAGAUAGGAAGAGAUUUCUGGACCCCAGACAGGCAGGGCCUGCAUCCAUGAUCAGCAGGAAGCAGAUACAGAAGAUGUGAUGGGUCUAUGCCAUUAAGCAUCUUGUCAAGAUUAAGGGUCAGGAAUCUCUGAGGGGGGAUGAUAUGGGGCUGGUCAUGGACUUAGGUUAGGUUCCUGAACUGGAGGUCACACCCGUGUUACCACCACGGACUCUCACCUGUUUCCACCACCUGUCAAUCACACUGUGUAACCACUCCCCUUCUGGAAGUGAAUAAGAGGCCUGGAGAGCACUGACCCCAUCUCUCUCUUGCCUGCCCCACUCUUGCCUAUGUGCACUCUCACCUGUGUUCUCUGUCUAAAGGUUUGGAGCUCCCCAUUUACUGUUCUUGGCCCACUCUCCCUAAUGAAGCCCUCACGUUCCUGUGUAUUUUUCUCACUCUCUAAAAAAUCCUAAACCUCAUCAUGCUGCAUGUCUUGUUUGAGCCAGUGCUUAGAAUUCUUCUCUAAGUAAAUGGCAAGAACCAGAAAUAUUAAAUUUUGGCUUAGUUUAACCCAGAACAGCAGGGACAAUGAAGAUAAAAUUUUACGUUUUGCAUCAAAAUUCCAUGGAGAGUUAGAUGGGCAAGGGACAGUUCUCAAGACAGAGUUGGAGCCACACUGGCCUGCAGACCCCUUGCUUGGCCCUGUUAAUAUUUUGCCUGCAGUCCUGCAUGCUGCUCCGGGUCUGUCUCAUGUUCCUGUCUGCUCCUGACAUGCUUACAGCUGGAAGGACAACGUGGACUGUUGGGGAGCACGCUAAGGGAGGGGUGGAGCUUGGGUUUGCCUGUUGCUUUGACAUCAGUGGGAGGAAACCACAGAGAGUCGUGGGUGUGUGGCACAUCCUGGGUGUUUUUCUGCAGGGUUUAUAUUGGCCCUGCCCCCUUCGUCUGCAGCAAGGGUUCUGGGAGUACUUGCCAGGGCUUUAAGAGGUGACUAUUUGGUGUGCUUGUGAGUUAGGAACUAGCAAGAACAUUUCUAGCUGUUUUUCACAGCUGAAAAAUAAACCUCUUCUGAAUAUUUAGGAAAUAAAAUAUGAAGACUUAUUCAGAGAAUCCUAUUAUUAAAUUAUUCUCUUUCUUUUAAAAAAAAGAUUUAUGUGUUAUUUUUGAAAGGUAAAGUCACAGAGAGAGAAGGAGAGACAGAGAGAAAGAUCUUGCAUCUGCUGGUCCACUCCCCAGACAGCCACACAGCUAGAGCUGGGUCAAGCUGAAGGCAGAAGUCUGCGACUUUGUCCAGGUCUCCCACAUGGAUUGCAGGGGCCUAAGUCCUUGGGCCAUCUUCUGCUGCCUUCCCAGGUAAUCUCAAAUUACACCAUAAAGGUAACCAGCUGCAGAAGCAGAAGACAACCCCACACCCUGAGGAGUGUAUUACCUGAAAAGCCAGAUAGUACCUGGCUCUCUCCCAGACAGCAUUGCUCAUCAUGGACGGUUCAAGCCAAAUUAUCCAUUAUUGUUCCCCAAGUUUACAAUUAAACUAUCGAUCAAAUCUGGCAGUGAUUUCUCCAGCAGCCCAAGCUUGGAAGCUGUGGAAUUACAUCAGAACCUGAGCGCGUGGAGCCGGAGAAGGUGACGCCGACAGACAGAUGCUGACCGAAGGCUGCGCUGCGGACCAGCCACCUCGGGAUGCAGCCGCUGGUGAUUUUCCUGGAGCCAAGAAGCACUGAGCCAGCACCACGGCCACCGACAGCGGUGGCGUGCUCAGAGUCAGAAAUCGGUAUUAGUCUCUCCUGGCCUGGAGGCAGGAGAUGUCAAAAGCUAAAUCAUGAUCUACCCUGGCUUCCUGGCUAAAUUGUGUAUGAAGGCCUCAGGCAAAAAGGUACACAUGCUCAUUAUUUGAAACCGAG